RNAcentral lists this ribosomal RNA (115 nucleotides) under Apteronotus albifrons (black ghost). RNAcentral describes it as "partial 16S ribosomal RNA". The record is from RNAcentral. Lineage: Eukaryota; Metazoa; Chordata; Actinopteri; Gymnotiformes; Apteronotidae.
GAGCCAAAAAGCUAGCUUAAUUAUUAAGACAACCUAACAACAUUAUCUUGUCUUACACAACCCCUACCCAACUAAUCAAACCAUUUUCCUGCCUUAGUAUGGGCGACAGAAAAGG